This 428-nucleotide ribosomal RNA is filed under the name Arthroleptides cf. yakusini SPL-2012a. Its description in RNAcentral is "Petropedetes cf. yakusini SPL-2012a partial 12S ribosomal RNA". It matches the Rfam family "Bacterial small subunit ribosomal RNA", at positions 767 to 1407 of the family's 1533-position model. The record is from RNAcentral. Lineage: Eukaryota; Metazoa; Chordata; Amphibia; Anura; Petropedetidae.
UCAAACUGGGAUUAGAUACCCCACUAUGCUCAGUCGUAAAAUAUUUAUUUACACUUCACACGCCAGGGUAUUACGAGCUUCAGCUUAAAACCCAAAGGACUUGACGGUGUCCCACCCACCUAGAGGAGCCUGUUCUAUAAUCGACACCCCCCGCUACACCUAACCUCUUUUUGCCUUUCAGCCUGUAUACCUCCGUCGUAAGUCUACCAUGUGAACGCUUAUAGUAUACUUAAUGGUUUUUCACCAAUACGUCAGGUCAAGGUGCAGCCUAUGAAGAGGUAAGCAAUGGGCUACAAUUUCUAACUUAGAACAUACGAAAAACUUCAUGAAACACAGUUUUUGAAGGCGGAUUUAGCAGUAAAAAGAAAAUAGCGUGUUCUUUUUAAUUCCGGCACUGGGACGUGUACACACCGCCCGUCACCCUUUGA